RNAcentral lists this ribosomal RNA (471 nucleotides) under uncultured bacterium. RNAcentral describes it as "partial 16S ribosomal RNA". It matches the Rfam family "Bacterial small subunit ribosomal RNA", at positions 29 to 507 of the family's 1533-position model. The record is from RNAcentral.
AUUGAACGCUGGCGGCAGGCCUAACACAUGCAAGUCGAACGGUAACAGGAAACAGCUUGCUGUUUCGCUGACGAGUGGCGGACGGGUGAGUAAUGUCUGGGAAACUGCCUGAUGGAGGGGGAUAACUACUGGAAACGGUAGCUAAUACCGCAUAACGUCGCAAGACCAAAGAGGGGGACCCUCGGGCCUCUUGCCUUCGGAUGUGCCCACGGGGGUUCAGCUUGUUGGUGGGGUAACGUCUUACCAAGGCGGCGAUCCCUACCUGGACGGAGAGGGUGGACGGCCCCAUUGGGACUGAGAUACGGCCCAGAUGCCGACGGGAGGAAGCAGUGGGGAAGAUUGCACAAUGGGCGCAGGGCUGAUGCAGAGACGCCGCGUGGGGGAUGACGGCCUUCGGGUUGGAAACUCCUUUCGCUAGGGACGAAGCUUUUUGUGACGGUACCUAGAGAAGAAGCACCGGCUAACUACGUG